RNAcentral lists this ribosomal RNA (467 nucleotides) under uncultured bacterium. Its description in RNAcentral is "partial 16S ribosomal RNA". It matches the Rfam family "Bacterial small subunit ribosomal RNA", at positions 28 to 507 of the family's 1533-position model. The record is from RNAcentral.
GACGAACGCUGGGGCGUGCUUAACACAUGCAAGUCGAACGGAAAGGCCCUGCUUUUGUGGGGUGCUCGAGUGGCGAACGGGUGAGUAACACGUGAGUAACCUGCCCUUGACUUUGGGAUAACUUCAGGAAACUGGGGCUAAUACCGGAUAGGAGCUCCUGCUGCAUGGUGGGGGUUGGAAAGUUUCGGCGGUUGGGGAUGGACUCGCGGCUUAUCAGCUUGUUGGUGGGGUAGUGGCUUACCAAGGCUUUGACGGGUAGCCGGCCUGAGAGGGUGACCGGCCACAUUGGGACUGAGAUAGGGCCCAGACUCCUACGGGAGGCAGCAGUGGGGAAUAUUGCACAAUGGGCGGAAGCCUGAUGCAGCAACGCCGCGUGCGGGAUGACGGCCUUCGGGUUGUAAACCGCUUUCGCCUGUGACGAAGCGUGAGUGACGGUAAUGGGUAAAGAAGCACCGGCUAACUACGUG